CAGCCGCCGCGGUAAUACGUAGGGUGCAAGCGUUAAUCGGAAUUACUGGGCGUAAAGCGUGCGCAGGCGGUUUUGUAAGUCUGUCGUGAAAUCCCCGGGCUCAACCUGGGAAUGGCGGUGGAGACUGCAAGGCUAGAAUCUGGCAGAGGGGGGUAGAAUUCCACGUGUAGCAGUGAAAUGCGUAGAUAUGUGGAGGAACACCGAUGGCGAAGGCAGCCCCCUGGGCCAAUACUGACGCUCAUGCACGGAAGCGUGGGGAGCAAACAGGAUUAGAUACCCGAGUAGUCCCUGUCUCUUAUAC
This 301-nucleotide ribosomal RNA is filed under the name uncultured bacterium. RNAcentral describes it as "partial 16S ribosomal RNA". It matches the Rfam family "Bacterial small subunit ribosomal RNA", at positions 509 to 807 of the family's 1533-position model. The record is from RNAcentral.